Molecule: long non-coding RNA, 437 nt
Organism: Caretta caretta (loggerhead turtle)
Lineage: Eukaryota; Metazoa; Chordata; Testudines; Cheloniidae
Source: RefSeq, a predicted model, not a curated record
AAGUAAAAAGAGGAUCUGUCAUUUAUAUAGGUAGAGAGACAAGCAUGUGGUCCAGGCCAUUGUCAGAGACAGACUGCUGGACUUGGUGGAUCAGUCAUUUGUGGAGAUUGCAGGACUCUGGAUCUUCGACUGCUGGACCCAGACUGGCACGGGCGGAGACAGGAGGAGCACAGAGCCUUCAUGGAUGACUGGACCCAGGAACCACAGCAGCUGGAACCAGGAAAAAUGUCCCACGGUCCCCCAUGUAACUGAGCUUGCUGAGUUCACAAUCAAAAGGUGUAAUUUUCCAUCUCUGAUGCUUCCUGUAACAGGUACCCUGGAAAUUCUUCAUUAAUGGAGUUAACUCUUCCUUCACAAAAGUGGGCUUCGGUUUUAAAUUAGUGAACUCUCCUCAAGAGAAUCAACACAACCAUGCAUUUGAAAUAGUGGGUUUUUUA